Molecule: ribosomal RNA, 347 nt
Filed under: Trigonella foenum-graecum
Lineage: Eukaryota; Viridiplantae; Streptophyta; Magnoliopsida; Fabales; Fabaceae
Description: eukaryotic LSU rRNA
Rfam family: 5.8S ribosomal RNA (bases 1-84)
Source: RNAcentral
UGCAGAAUCCCGUGAACCAUCGAGUCUUUGAACGCAAGUUGCGCCCGAUGCCAUUAGGUUGAGGGCACGUCUGCCUGGGUGUCACAUAUCGAAGCCUCAUGCCAAUUUCCUUUUUUAGUAGGUAUUGUGCAUGCUGGUGAAUGUUGGCCUCCCGUGAGCUCUAUUGUCUCAUGGUUGGUUGAAAAUCGAGACCUUGGUAGGGUGUGCCAUGAUAGAUGGUGGUUGUGUGACCCACGAGAACCAAGAUCAUGUGCUUCCCUAUUCAAUUUGGCCUCUUUUACCCAUAUGCGUUUUGUGAACGCUCGUGAUGAGACCUCAGGUCAGGCGGGGCUACCCGCUGAAUUUAA